UUGCAACCUUGAACCCGCGCCUCUCGACUCAACAGUCAUUGGCGUUUGGCGCGGGUUCAAGAUUGGCAUCGUUCAAAGCCCUAAAGAUUCACUUAAACCCUCAACCUGACUGUAAGCAGCAGCCAGCCGAUGGUAGCAUCGUUCAAAGCCAACAUAAGAAGAGGAACAAACCGUAGCUACACCGGGCUAUAGCAGCGUCGUUUAACGGUAACUUGCUAGAAGAAGAAGAAGAAGAAGAAUGGGCAAAAUCCCACCUUCAUUUAAAACAGCCAGACUCCCUGUAACUACUCUACUUAGAAACCCCCGGUCUAUACCUCCCCAUGAAUCUUCUUCCCCGUCUGUAACUCCAACUCCCCAUCCCCACCAUUUCCCAUCCACAAAGAAAACUGCCAACAAGAAAAAACAUUCAUCCUCUCGUCAGAAAACUGACCCAUCAUCUCAAAACCCUAGUCCCAUGAUCUUCAAAUCCCCAAACCUCUCCGACGCCAAACAGACCUUCAACUCCAUCCUCUCCACCUCCCCGGCCUCACUAGAUCUCCGCUUCCACAAUGCCCUCCUCCAAUCCUACUCCCAGAUCUCCACCCCGCGCGACUCUCUUUCUUUCCUGCGCCACAUGAUCGCUAAACAACCCUCCUUCUCCCCGAAUCGAUCGACCUACCAUAUCCUUCUCUCCCUGUCCUGCAAGUAUCCCUCCGACGACCUCUCCCCUGUCCUCGAAACCCUUGACCUAAUGGUACAAAAGGGUUUCCCUCCAGACCACGUCUCUCUCGACCUCGCCGUCCGAUCACUCUGCUCCAUCGGUCGCGAAGACGAGGCUGUUGAGUUGGUCAAGGAGUUAUCCGUUAAAUACGCUCCACCUGACUCUUUCACCUACAAUUUCCUUGUUAGGCAUCUCUGCAAGACUAGGGUUUUAAGCACCGUUUACAAUUUCAUCGAUGAUAUGCGAAAUUCGGUAAAUUUGAAACCCGAUGUCGUUACUUACACUAUCUUAAUCGAUUCAGUUUGUAAACGCAAAAACCUCCGAGAGGCCACUCGAUUGCUCGGAGUCCUCGACGACGAGGGAUUUAAGCCGGAUUGCUUUCUUUAUAACACAAUAAUGAAGGGUCACUGUUUGUUGGAUCGUGGGAGCGAGGUGAUUGCGGUUUAUAAGAAGAUGAAGGAGAAUGGGGUAGAACCUGAUCUUGUGACGUAUAAUACUUUGAUUUUUGGGUUAUCGAAGGAUGGGAGGGUGGAUGAAGCUAGGAAAUACUUAGAUAUUAUGGCUGAAAUGGGGCAUUUCCCUGAUACGGUUACUUACACAUCACUGAUGAAUGGCAUGUGCCGGAAGGGAGAUGCAUUAGGAGCACUGGAGCUGUUGGAGGAGAUGGAAGAGAAGGGCUGUAGUCCAAAUUCAUGUACGUAUAGUACAUUGCUCCAAGGGUUGUGCAAGUCACGGUUGUUGGAGAAAGGGUUGGAAUUGUAUAAGAUGAUGAAAUCGGGCGGAAUGAAACUUGAGGCAGCUUCUUAUGCUACGCUUGUGAGGGCACUGUGUAGGGACAACAAGAUUGCAGAAGCUUAUGAGGUGUUUGAUUAUGCGGUGCAGAGUAAGAGUCUCACAGAUGUUGUAGCAUAUUCCACAUUAGAGAGUACCCUCAAGUGGCUAAAGAAAUUCAAAGGACCAGAAUUUGCUUCUUAGCUUAUUCUACAAAUACGGUAAUUUUGUUUGUUUCCAUUCUCUACCCGUUUCAAUCUCCUUUUUUCACUUUGUCUUGAUGAGAGGUUACUUCAUGCUGAAUUUUGAUAUCUGAUAAUCCAUUCUCGUAAUCCUGUUCAUGCAUGGGUUGUCCUAGUUAUUUUAACUUCCAAAGACAAGAUGCAGUAUUGCUUAUGAUUUUUUUAUAAACUAUAUUUAACAAAUUAUGGGAUUGUCUAAGGUCUUGCUUUUUUUUUCUCCAUUGUAAAGGGAGUAGAAGUUGUUUUUCUUUCCGAAUAAAAAAUAUAUAUACAAAGGAAGUGGUGUACAAUACUUAGUAUGUCUCAUCCUUUAGACGGUGGAAGGAUGUAAGAGGGUAACAUUGUUUUCAGGAAUGAUUUCAUUAUUCCAAAUUUCUUCCCAUUCACUGUUUCGAGGAAAUGAAGUACAGUUGCUUGAAAGGGGCGAAGAUACUGCUUUGCCAAUGAUACCUCUCUCUCUGCAUUUGGUUUUUUUCCUUUUCCUUUUUUUAAUCAUUGAUCUAAACUCAAAUAUAUGGUAUCUAGCAAUGUUUUUUUUUUCAAAUAACCUUUGAUUAUGCAUGUGAUUUAUGAGUUCAGCACCAUUACUGAGGCGGCUCUUAAUUGUUGGACCACCAAAGCUUUCGCCACCUUUAAGGUAACGAAGUUUUCAAGUCCAGGCAGAUUUUGCCGCCUGCAUUUGCCUAUUGAGAAUCUGCAACACAUCCCUUGGCUAAGCUGAUCCAUUUUGAACCAUCUCAAACGUUGGGGCAAUCUGUAUUAAACUGAAGCCCAACAAUUACCAAAGAUAAUUGAAUCCAAGGGGCAUUUGGAGUCAGCAGACUUGUGAGGGAACUUCUUUGGGGACAGUUGGGAGUGUCAACUAUUCCAUUCCCCACUAAUAAACCGUCAGUUGACAGAAAAUAUUAGACGAUUUUUAAUUUUUUGAAAAAAGUCUAUUUUAUC
Molecule: RNA transcript, 2658 nt
Organism: Nelumbo nucifera (sacred lotus)
Lineage: Eukaryota; Viridiplantae; Streptophyta; Magnoliopsida; Proteales; Nelumbonaceae
Gene name: Tetratricopeptide repeat (TPR)-like superfamily protein
Source: RefSeq, a predicted model, not a curated record